CAAAAAAAUAAUAAAAACAGUACAAUAAUUCAGCAUAUAACUGUGUAUCGAAUUUGACUUUUUUUUCCCUUAAAGAAAGCUAAUGUGUGGUGCAAAUAUCAGGUGAUAGAGUCCAAAUAACACCACCCAUAAUUUUCUCUAGCAAGUAAUACACGAUUAUAUAAUAAUUUUUUAUAACCAUAUAAAAUUUAUCAUAAUUAAUGAUGAAAGUCUACCCGCAUACAUAUAGCAGUUAUGUGGAUCCAGAGAAGAAUUUCC
Molecule: unclassified non-coding RNA, 258 nt
Filed under: Hevea brasiliensis (rubber tree)
Lineage: Eukaryota; Viridiplantae; Streptophyta; Magnoliopsida; Malpighiales; Euphorbiaceae
Source: RNAcentral